RNAcentral lists this ribosomal RNA (2457 nucleotides) under Aphelenchoides varicaudatus. RNAcentral's name for it is "SSU rRNA". The stretch from base 1 to 1703 matches the Rfam family "Eukaryotic small subunit ribosomal RNA". Lineage: Eukaryota; Metazoa; Nematoda; Chromadorea; Rhabditida; Aphelenchoididae. The record is from RNAcentral.
AUGCAUGUCUAAGUGGAGUAUUAUAAAGCGAAACUGCGAACGGCUCAUUACAACAGAUAUAAUCUACUUGUUCUAUUCUUUAAACUGAUAACUGAGGAAAAUCUUGAGCCAAACAAGUGAAAAAAGCCGGAUUCAGCAAUGAGUUCGGUGCACUUAUCGGAGCAAAAUCAAUCUUGAUUCAUGCUAACUCUAGAUAACCUUGCUUAUCGCACGACCUUGUGUCGGCGAAGUUACAUUCGAGUAUCUGCCUUAUCAACUAUCGUUGGUAGUGUAUUGGACUACCAUGGUGUUGACGGGUAACGGAGAAUCAGGGUUCGACUCCGGAGAGGGAGCCUUAGAAACGGCUACCAUGUCUAAGGACAGCAGCAGGCGCGCAACUUAUCCACUGUUCAUUGAACGAGAUAGUGACGAGAAAUAACAAGCUCAUUCUCUUUGAGGUUGAGCAUUGGAAUGGAUGAAAUCUAAACAAUUUCAUGAGUACCCAUGAGAGGGCAAGUCUGGUGCCAGCAGCCGCGGUAAUUCCAGCUCUCAUAAUGUAUAGAAUUAUUGUUGCGGUUAAAAAGUUCGUAGUUGGAUUUUGUACCUGUUACGGGUGGCAUCUUUUGGUGUCUACUUGUGCGGGUUUUUUCACAGUGUUGGACUUGUUCAACAUUGUGGGGUUACUUUGAACGGCUUAAGUGCUCAAAGCGGGUCUUCGGACCGAAUACCGGUGCAUGGAAUAAUGGAACAAGGUUUCGAUCGAGUUUUAUUGGUUUUGUCGGUUGAGACAAUGGUUAACAGGAACAGCUGGGGGCACUCGUAUUGCUGCGCGAGAGGUGAAAUUCGUGGACCGCAGCAAGACGCCCAAAAGCGAAGGCAUUUGCCAAGAGUGUUUUCAUUAAUCAAGAACGAAAGUCAGAGGUUCGAAGGCGAUUAGAUACCGCCCUAGUUCUGACCGUAAACGAUGCCAACUAUCAAUCCGCUAGUGGCUUUUAGUCAUUGGCGGGCGGAUCGACGGAAACGAAAGUUUUUCGGUUCCGGGGGAAGUAUGGUUGCAAAGCUGAAACUUAAAGGAAUUGACGGAAGGGCACCACCAGGAGUGGAGCUUGCGGCUUAAUUUGACUCAACACGGGAAAUCUCACCCGGCCAGUACAUCAUAAGGAUUGACAGAUUGAAAGCUCUUUCAUGAUUUGAUGAAUGGUGGUGCAUGGCCGUUCUUAGUUCGUGGCGUGAGUCGUCUGCUUAAUUGCGAUAACGAGCGAGACUCCGACUGCUAAAUACCAGUGGGAUUUUUUUGUCCCUCGCGGUUCUUAGCUGGAUUCGCGGCUUCAAGCCGCAAGAAAUGGAGCAAUAACAGGUCUGUGAUGCCCUUAGAUGUUCGGGGCGGCACGCGUGCUACAAUGAUGAUAACAGCAUGCUUGUGCUCGACCGACAGGUCUUGCCAAACAUAUGAGAUAUUAUUAUGGCUGGAAUUGAGUGUUGAAACUUUCUCUCAUGAACGAGGAAUUCCAAGUAAAUGCAAGUCAUCAACUUGCAUUGAUUACGUCCCUGCCCUUUGUACACACCGCCCGUCGCUACCCGGGACUGAGUUGUUUCGAGAAAUCUACGGACCGCUGGAAUGGAGGCAACUUCAUUUUUGGUGGAAAGUAAAUUAAUCGCAAUGGCUUGAACCGGGUAAAAGUCGUAACAAGGUAUCGGUAGGUGAACCUGCCGAUGGAUCAUUAACGCAAAUGAACCAAAACCUUGAAUUCCAUUCGCUUAAGACUGUGAAGAGGCAUGAAAGCAUUGGAAACAACCAUUGAUCGGAUUCAAAAUUUUUUUGGGUUCGAUUGCUUUUAACGGCUAGAUUGGGUCUCUGUGAUUGGCGGAGUAGUUGUUUGUAGGACCGUGGCUACAACGAUGCUGAUCGGUAGAGUCGCUUUUAUGGCUUGAUUCUAGAGUUAAUAACCCGUUGCGGUGCCCAAAACUCAUAUUCAUUCAUUUAAAUUUUUUUUCAAAUUGAUAAUAAAGACUAUUAGCUAUAUCGGUGGAUCACUUGGCUCGUAGAUCGAUGAAGAACGCAGUGAAUUGCGUUAAGAAUCACGAAUUACAGAUAUUAUGAGUGACAUGUUUUCGAUUGCAUAUUGCAUCGUCAAGCAUUUGCUUGUCGAUAUAUUCAACUCAGGGUGUAUUCAAAUAAGAAAAAAAUUCAAUUGUUUUUUUCUCAAAAUUAAUGCUGUGUGCUUUCGAGUAGCAGUGUUAAAAUUUGAGUCCUUUUUUCAAAGGUCUAUUGUUGAAGUGUUGCUGCCUUGAAUUGGGUCAUUUUUGAAUGAACACAAUUACUUUGUUGCUGUAUGAUGUUGUGAAUAAUUUCUUUGCGAUGUUUUGCACUCCAAAUUUGAUUGUGGACCUAUGCAGCUCUAUACACUGCCAAUUUUUGUUUUGGUUUAAUCCACCUGAGUCGAGUAUGAUUACCCCGCUGAACUAUAAGACAUAUAA